RNAcentral lists this long non-coding RNA (395 nucleotides) under Anser brachyrhynchus (Pink-footed goose). Its description in RNAcentral is "lncRNA (ENSABRG00000016706.1)". Lineage: Eukaryota; Metazoa; Chordata; Aves; Anseriformes; Anatidae. The record is from RNAcentral.
GCGGCGAUGGAUGCUGGCCACGGCCCCCAACCGGGGAUUUGGGGACAGCACCGGGGCGCUCGCCACCCCCGUUAACCCCCAAAAACCGCGGUCCCCCCCCGGCUCCGGAGCGGGGCGCGGCCCGGGGGUGCCGCUGCGGGCGGCGGGCGGGGGGGAGCGGCCCGGGGCGCGGCACCGCCCCCGCCGCCGCCGCCGCCCCACGCAUGCUCGCGGCCGCCGCCGCGCCGGAGCGGAGCGGAGCGGGACGGGACGGGACGGGACGGGACCGGGCGGCAGCCGCCGCCGCUGCAGGGUCUCCAGGCCACGUCCCCGCGGCCCCGGGAGCCGCAGCAGCACCUGAAUCCCGCUCCUGGCUCGACCGCGCCGGGGGAAGGCUGGCUUUUGCGGAUUAGCAU